AACGAACGCUGGCGGCAUGCCUAACACAUGCAAGUCGAACGAGACCUUCGGGUCUAGUGGCGCACGGGUGCGUAACGCGUGGGAACCUCCCCUUAGGUUCGGAAUAACUCCCCGAAAGGGGUGCUAAUACCGGAUAAUGUCUUCGGACCAAAGAUUUAUCGCCUUUGGAUGGGCCCGCGUUGGAUUAGCUAGUUGGUAGGGUAAAAGCCUACCAAGGCGACGAUCCAUAGCUGGUCUGAGAGGAUGAUCAGCCACACUGGGACUGAGACACGGCCCAGACUCCUACGGGAGGCAGCAGUGGGGAAUAUUGGACAAUGGGCGAAAGCCUGAUCCAGCAAUGCCGCGUGAGUGAUGAAGGCCUUAGGGUUGUAAAGCUCUUUUACCCGGGAUGAUAAUGACAGUACCGGGAGAAUAAGCUCCGGCUAACUCCGUG
This 433-nucleotide ribosomal RNA is filed under the name uncultured bacterium. RNAcentral describes it as "partial 16S ribosomal RNA". It matches the Rfam family "Bacterial small subunit ribosomal RNA", at positions 29 to 507 of the family's 1533-position model. The record is from RNAcentral.